UGGCGGCGUGCCUAACACAUGCAAGUCGAGCGGGGACGAUGCGACGGAUCGAAAGUUUCGGACGGACGUGAAGAUGUAUGUUCUAGCGGCGGACGGGUGAGUAACGCGUGAGCAACCUGUCCUUCACAGGGGGAUAACACAGCGAAAGUUGUACUAAUACCGCAUAAGACCACACCGGGGCAUCCCGGAGGGGGUCAAAGGAGCAAUCCGGUGAAGGGUGGGCUCGCGUCCGAUUAGAUAGUUGGUGGGGUAACGGCCUACCAAGUCGACGAUCGGUAGCCGACCUGAGAGGGUGAUCGGCCACAUUGGGACUGAGACACGGCCCAAACUCCUACGGGAGGCAGCAGUGGGGAAUAUUGGGCAAUGGGGGAAACCCUGACCCAGCAACGCCGCGUGAGGGAAGAAGGUUUUCGGAUCGUAAACCUCUGUCCCAGGUGAAGAGAAAGAGACGGUAGCCUGGGAGGAAGCCCCGGCUAACUACGUGCCAGCAGCUGC
Molecule: ribosomal RNA, 495 nt
Filed under: uncultured bacterium
Lineage: Bacteria
Description: bacterial SSU rRNA
Rfam family: Bacterial small subunit ribosomal RNA
Source: RNAcentral